CCUGUGGGGAAAGGUUAUUAUUUUUAUUUUAUGCUUUGUGUUUUCAUGAAAUUAUUGGUUUAACCUACAGUCCUUACCAUUAGUUGUUUGUGUGUGGUAGUCAUUUUUAUUUAGCUGAAUUGAAUUCUUUCAGAGCUGACGAUAGACCAAACCAAGAUUUCAUCAUAACGGGACAAAAGCAAGACAAGCACAAGAGAUGCAAUUAAGUUUAAUUUAUAGUGCCUUUUUUAAUUAAUUUUUAUUGAAUUAAUAUUAGAUUAUUUGAGGGAGGGAGCACUGGGAAAAAUCUUAAGUAUUCAAUUACAGACUUUCAGAAUGACAAUUUCAGGAAGGUUUAUUAGCAUCACAGCUAGGUAAAAAAAACAGUGAUGUCUCAAUUUUAAUCGAACCAAUCUCAUUUUUACAAACUGGGUAAAUCCCAAGGAUGGAUCGUCUCUUUACAGCUGAUGAAUGAACAGAACAUUAUAGCACAUCUCUCAUCCAUUAAACCACAAUAGGCUUUGUGCUUUGUUACUUUUGAUAAGAAACAAAGUCUUAGAUUUGAAUUCUGUCCAUCUUAUCUUGAAAUGUCACCAAUAAAUCUGACUGUGGUGCUCUCUAUCUAAUGCAGUGACGAUCACGCAGUGUGCCUCAGGUCAAGUGAAGCGGCAGCAUGCAGCACACUUGAAAGAUCACGUCUUCCUCUGUUUUUAACACCAGUUACGGGCUACAGCGCCAAAUAAACAUGAAUGAAUGCCAAAGGGUCUGUAAACAGAUACAGGACAAUUUACUGACAUUAAUCCUGUCACAUGUAAUCGCUCAAUCAGUGUUUCAGCCGUACUUCAGAGACGUCACAAACAGCUCGUCAACAAGAUGUCAUGUUUCUCAUCAAAUCCAUAUUCAGGGACCAUGAACUUGGAUAGCUGGUGAAAUAAUGGCAGUGAGCAUUACUCAGGAUGGACCUUUUUCAUGGAGUGGAUUUACAAUUUCAUUUCUUCCGGGAGAUUAAUAAAGAUGAGCUGACAUAACAGAUGCAGACCUGCUAGAUCUGAUUGACAAGAUUGAGACUGCAGACACUACAGCCUUGCUUGAGCUUUCUGAAAGAAUCGUAGCAUGUGGUACACAGGAUCCUAACAUGUGAUGAAAGGAAGACAUUGUCAGGUGUAGUAUCUGUGAUUCUGUCCAUCUGACUCUCCUCCUUUCUCUUCAAUCCACACAUCAGGGUUAGAUGUUUUUGGGACAUUAUACUCAUUUGUAGACUCUCAUCUGCAGCUUUUACAGGUUUUCCAUUGUCAUGAGAAAAAAUGAAAUAUCUGAUGGCCCUGUCACUGUUUUAAGUGCGGUGGGUUCAGUGAAGCGCAGAGAGAAUCACGGAUUGUGAACUACUUGCAGGACUUCAUUCAAAGCCUUGAAGAUGAAGGGAACAUCAUUACUCUUACUCUUAAUACUUAAAUCACAUCAGUUCAACAACGGACCGGGCAUCUGACCAGUCAGAGCAGAGAGGGCUUGUGGAAAAGACUGAAGAUUUGGAUCACUUCACACUUUUGAAUAUAAACUUGUUGUAGGAAACCUCUAAAACUAUUUUAAAAUAGUAUAUUAGGGGCACUUUAAAAAUGUGAGGUAUUGUCAGUCCAAGUUCAGAGACUGUUAACAC
Long non-coding RNA from Carassius carassius (crucian carp), 1633 nucleotides. RefSeq lists it as uncharacterized. NCBI's taxonomy places the organism in Eukaryota, Metazoa, Chordata, Actinopteri, Cypriniformes, Cyprinidae. The transcript has 3 exons. The record is from RefSeq and is a predicted model, not a curated record.